AGGCCUGUAUUAUGGAUCUUACACCUUCCUAGAAAUAUGAAACAUUGGAAUCAUCCUACUAUUUAAGGCCUUCCUGCUUAGAAAUUCCCUGGAUCCUCUGCCUAGGAACCUCUUCACCCAGGAAAUGUACUGGUACCCCCUUAAGACUCCAAGUCUUUAAGAUCACAGCUCAAAUAAAAGGCGUGGAGCGUCACUUAAUACAAGGAGAUCUGAUUAUGAGAAGAACUCACCGAAUCACCUGAAGGAUGCCCUGAAGCCAGAGGGGCUCAAAGGCCCACGCUUGGUCCCGAGCGCCGGUCCACAGUAGACUCCAGGGGACCUCAGGGUUUGAAAACUGACUUGUGACCCACAGCAAGCAUCAUACUCAAUGGUGAAAAACUGAAAGCAUUUCCACUAAGAUCAGGAACAAGACAAGGGUGUCCACUCUCGCCACUCUUAUUCGACAUAGUUAUGGAAGUCCUAGUCAUGGCAAUCAGAGAAAAAAAGAAAAGGAAUACAAAUUGGAAAAGAAGAAGUAAAACUGUCACUCCUUGCAGAUGACAUGAUACUAUACAUAGAAAAUC
Molecule: long non-coding RNA, 563 nt
Organism: Eubalaena glacialis (North Atlantic right whale)
Lineage: Eukaryota; Metazoa; Chordata; Mammalia; Artiodactyla; Balaenidae
Exons: 3
Source: RefSeq, a predicted model, not a curated record